This 216-nucleotide ribosomal RNA is filed under the name Glomeromycotina sp. RNAcentral's name for it is "partial small subunit ribosomal RNA". The stretch from base 40 to 216 matches the Rfam family "Eukaryotic small subunit ribosomal RNA", at positions 686 to 864 of the family's 1831-position model. Lineage: Eukaryota; Fungi; Glomeromycota. The record is from RNAcentral.
GGGUCAGUAGGUUGGUCGUGCCACCGGUACGUACUGGUCUCACUGAUUCCUCCUUCCUGAAGAACCGUAAUGCCAUUAAUUUGGUGUUGCGGGGAAACAGGACUGUUACUUUGAAAGAAUUAGAGUGUUUAAAGCAAGCUAACGCUUGAAUACAUUAGCAUGGAAUAAUGAAAUAGGACGAUCGACCCUAUUUUGUUGGUUUCUAGGAUUGACGUA